GUGGGGAGCAAACAGGAUUAGAUACCCUGGUAGUCCACGCUGUAAACGAUGAGUGCUGAAUGUGGGGACGUAUUGUCUCUGUGUUGUAGCUAACGCGUUAAGCACUCCGCCUGGGGACUACGGUCGCAAGACUAAAACUCAAAGGAAUUGACGGGGACCCGCACAAGCGGUGGAGCAUGUGGUUUAAUUCGAUGCAACGCGAAGAACCUUACCACUUCUUGACAUGGAGAUUAGAUCCUUCUUAACAGAAGGGCGCAGUUCGGCUGGAUCUCGCACAGGUGCUGCAUGGCUGUCGUCAGCUCGUGUCGUGAGAUGUUGGGUUAAGUCCCGCAACGAGCGUAACCCUCAUCCUUAGUUGCCAGCGGGUUAAGCCGGGCACUUUAAGGUGACUGCCAGUGGUAAACUGGAGGAAGGUGGGGAUGAUGUCAAGUCAGCACGGCCCUUAUGGGGUGGGCUACACACGUGCUACAAUGGUGACUACAAUAGGUUGCAAUGUCGCAAGGCUGAGCUAAUCCGUAAAAGUCAUCUCAGUUCGGAUUGUCCUCUGCAACUCGAGGGCAUGAAGUCGGAAUCGCUAGUAAUCGUGGAUCAGCAUGCCACGGUGAAU
This 607-nucleotide ribosomal RNA is filed under the name Anaplasma platys. RNAcentral's name for it is "bacterial SSU rRNA". It matches the Rfam family "Bacterial small subunit ribosomal RNA", at positions 761 to 1367 of the family's 1533-position model. The record is from RNAcentral. Lineage: Bacteria; Pseudomonadati; Pseudomonadota; Alphaproteobacteria; Rickettsiales; Anaplasmataceae.